This 442-nucleotide ribosomal RNA is filed under the name uncultured bacterium. RNAcentral's name for it is "partial 16S ribosomal RNA". It matches the Rfam family "Bacterial small subunit ribosomal RNA", at positions 338 to 795 of the family's 1533-position model. The record is from RNAcentral.
CCUACGGGAGGCAGCAGUGGGGGAUAUUGGACAAUGGGGGGAACCCUGAUCCAGCGACGCCGCGUGAGUGAAGAAGUAUCUCGGUAUGUAAAGCUCUAUCAGCAGGGAAGAAGAAAUGACGGUACCUGAGUAAGAAGCCCCGGCUAACUACGUGCCAGCAGCCGCGGUAAUACGUAGGGGGCAAGCGUUAUCCGGAAUUACUGGGUGUAAAGGGAGCGUAGACGGUGAUGUAAGUCUGGAGUGAAAGGCGGGGGCCCAACCCCCGGACUGCUCUGGAAACUAUGUGACUGGAGUGCAGGAGAGGUGAGCGGAAUUCCUAGUGUAGGAGUGAAAUCCGUAGAUAGUAGAAGGAACACCAAUAGCGUAGGCAGGUUACUGGGACGGUUCUGACACUAAGGCACGAAAGCGUAGGGAGCAAACGGGAUUAGAUACCCCGGUAGUC